UCUCAUCCCUUUAUCUCUUUUACUUUAUUUGUCAUUUAUUUUAUCUCACCAUAUCUAUUUUCAUAUUUAUUUAAACCUUUUAUAAGAACUUUAUUUUAUUUGGUUAAAAUCUUUUUUUAAGUGCUUAUCUUAAAUCGUUUUCUAAAGAACACAAUUCACCCCCCUCUUGUGUGUUUGAAGUCACUUGGUCAACAACUUAGCCUUAAAAUUUUGGAUGAAAAUGUAGUCUCGUUUUCACAUGUGGUUGCCCUUUCUCCAAUGCGUCGAUCCAAAUUAGUGUACGCUCCUCCAGAAAGCCCAACGGUGGUAUGAUAUUUUGGUUCAACGUUUUGGGGGAGCGGGAGUGUUUUAGGUGGUGGAUCACGAACACGAAGAGUCUGACUUUAAUGGAGAGAUGUUAAUGUGUUCAGUGUAAGUUAAAAUUUCACAUUGUAUGCAAGAGUAGCUGUGAGCGACAUAUAAAUAAUAUGAUCCACGUCGUAAUGCCUUGAGACUUUGGAUGAAGAUGUGAUAUUAAUCUCACUCGUGUGAUUACUCUUAGGCUAAUGUGAUCAUACAACUCAAUUUAGACUCUCACAUAAGUCUCAACAUUAUGAUAAUUUGAUUUCUAUAUUUUUUAAUGUCGUUUUGUUUAAUUUUUUUUAUCUUAAAUUAAUUUUAGUUUUCAAAUGUCAAAAAAUUAUUCAACCAUUGUUAUAUCUGAUUCAUUCACUUUUGAUCUUUGGUGAGAUCUUACAAUAGAAAAAUGUAGAUGUGAGAUAAAAAAAAUACAUACAUGGCGUCCGGACCCCCGAACUUGAGCCGAGUAAAGAAAAGGUUUAGAGACCUGCUGAAAAAGGUCCACUUUAUUUUCAACAAAAACAGACCGGAAUCAACGUCAAUCAAUAGAAAUGUCAAAAUAAGGAAGAAAAAAAAUGUUUGUUAGACAUUUUAAAUUGUCGUUACAUUUUUUUUUUAGGGAAAAUUGUCGUUAUAUUUUUUUAAUGAGUAUAUAUUGUAGUAAAAUAAUUACCCAUUAAUUCUUAACUCUUUCAAUAAAUGUAUAAAAUUAUCAGUAACUCGUUGUAUACUUUAUACUCCCAAAUAAAAACAAUCACUCCUUAUUUGUUUCCCUUAUUAUUUCUCUCAUGUUCAAAUUUCUUUUUCGUCUUCUUUAUUUUUCUAAUAUACUUUCUCAUUUCUCAUGAAAGAAAGAAACAAAAACACUUCUAUAUAAAAUCAACACCAACCCACAUUUUUUAACAUGUUGUGUCUCUGAUCUUAUUUGGCUCUCUCACCAUAUCAGAAAUACGGAUUGUCUCACAAGUAACAGAGAUAUGUUAAUGUGUCAUGUGUAAGUUAAACUUCUACAUUGGAAGCAAAAGUAUAUAUUGAGAAACAUGAAUGUGAGAUGACUAAUAUACAUAAUGUAUUAAGGUUUUAAGGGAAGAUGUGGUGUCAAUCUCACAUGUCGGAUUUCUCUUGAUCAAAUCUGACGAUCAAUCUAUUAUAGGCUUGCACAAAACUCCAAACACUAUGAUGAACUAUUUUUUUUAGUUUUUGGAUGUCAUUAGUUUAAUUUUAUUAUAUUAAAUAUAAGAUUUUAGAUGUUCACUUUGAUGAAAGAAAAAAUUAUCCAACCUCUACUAUUUCAAAUACCUUCAUUUUUGGUCUUUGGUGAGAUCUAGUCAUAGAAAAAUGUAGAUGUGUUAUGUUGAAUUAACAAAUUACAUGCUUAUAAGACAUUUUAAAAUGAUGUGAAAUUUUUUUCAACUCCUUCCAAUAUCCCAUAAAAUUAUCAUGAAUCCGCUCUAUUCCUAACACUUCAAUGGAAAAAACACACACUACUUUUUUCCUUUGUCAUUUCUAUCAUCUUUAAAUUUCUUUUUUAUAUUCUCUCUUUUUCUAAUUUUCUUUCUCUUUUUUUAUGAAAGAUAGGAUCAUAAACCUCCAUCCAUCAAAACACUAUCAACUCACAUUUUUUACAAUGUUGUGCCUACGGUUAACCUUAUUUGGCUAUGUCACCAAAUCUCAUACGCAAGAGUCUCACACUUAUGGGAGAGAUGUUAAAGUGUCAAUUGUGACUCAAAGUUUCAAAUUGGAUGCAAGUAAAUCUUGAAAAACAUAUAAGUGAGAUGAUCAAUAUACAUAAUGCUUUAAGGUUUUGGGUGAUGAUGUGGUGUCAAUCUCAGUUGUGUGCUUUGUGAUGAUCUAACUCAUUGCAGGCUCCCUUGAAACUCUAAACAUUUUGAUAAAUUAUUUUGUUAGUUUUUUCAACAUUGUUUGUAAACUUUUAUAUUAAGUUGAAGUUUUUUGAUGUUUUUCGCUUUCAUGCAAUAUUUUAUAAUAAAUCUCUAUUAUUUCAACUUCCUUUAGUUUUGGUCUUCGUUAGGAUUUCACGAUAGAAUAUUGUUGAUGCGUUAUGUUGAGUUGACAAAAUACUCCCUCUGUCCCAUAAUAUAAGCAAAAAAAACUCAUUUUCUUUGUCCCAAAAUAUAAGCAAAAAAAAAAACAAACUUUUAUCCUAUUUAAUCUUGGUUUUAAAAAAAAAAUCAUCUUUUCCAAUAAUUGUUUUUGUUUUUCUCAUAAAAUUAAAUGCAAAUUACAUUUAAUUUUAUCUCUCUUUCAUUUUCUCCAUAACCAAUAGCCAAUAAAAAUUGUUUUUACACCUUCCAAUAAAACUUUUUUCAAAAAAUGCACCUGCAUUUAAGUGUUUUGGUAAUGAUGGCGAUAUAAGUGUUUUUUGUAAUGAUGGAGAUAUAAGUGUUUUGGUAAAUGAAAGAAGUGUACACUUACGACAAAAAUGGCUCAACUUCUGGACAAUUUAGAAGAACAUAGAGAUGUGCAGCUUUCAUUUCUUUGUCUUGUAGGAAGUAGGUUGUACAUUUUUCAGAAGGACGCCCAGGAUAAUUAAAGAUAGACAAAGGUUGUCGGAUUGAACAACUUUCGCCUCCAUCAUCAUUUCGAUAAUAGUAAGACGCAAACGUAGAGGCCUCCUCCACACAAAUAGAGCCCUCGACAGAAGAUGAGUUUGUGACCUUAUCUUUUAAGGUACGAAUAAACUUAAUAAAAUAACUUGAAGACAUUAAUACAAUUAUGAGUGCAUAGUGACCUCCAAUUGGUUUGGUUAAGCUUAAUUGUGAUGGUGUUUGGAAUGGAUCUGGUAUUCUUGCAGGGUGUAGAGGGCUUCUUCGAGACUCUGAUGGUAGAUGGAUCAAAGGCUGCUUCAAGAAGAUUGGAAUGUGUGAUGCUUUUCAUGCUGAAAUGUGGGGCAUGUACCUAGGUUUGGACAUGGCGUGGAUGGAGAAUACCACUCAUCUUAUAGUGGAGAGUGACUCAAAGAUCUUGGUCGACAUGAUUACUAAAAAUUUCAAUUUUGAACGACUCCUACUUUGGUCAGGCGUAUUCGACAACUUUUGAGUUUGAGUUGGACUGUCAAAAUUACCCAUACUUGGCGGGAAGGCAACAGAAGUGCAGAUUGGCUUGCUAAUUUCAGCAUUUCAAUGGAUUUUCUAGAUUUUCAUAUUCUGAAGACUCCCCCUAGUGAGCUUCAGAGUCUUUUGUUUGAUAAUAUUUUCGGGGCUUGCAUGUCAAGGAACGUCCGUUUAAUUUCUUAGUUUUCUUUUUCUUUGGGCUUUGCCCUCUUUUGUACCAAUAUAUAUAUAUAUUAUAAUAUAUUUUCAGCAACAAUCUUCUUGAAGCAUUAAAAAUAUAUUUGAAACAAAUCUUUUAUAUUUUCUGCAUCAAUCUUCUCAAAAUAUUUUUUUUUAAGGAAUCUUCUCAAAAUAUAUUUUUACAAAAUCUAUUUUUGUAAAUACAAUUCAAAUAGCCUUAAACCGACGAAGGAAGCUUCUAGAAACACACGCUUCUUGGAUCACAAGUCACAUGAAUAGUUCUAGAAACCCUAAUGAUUUUGAGCCAGGCAUAUUAUCCUUCCUAUAAAUAAACAAAUCAACCCGCACAGUCUCACAAGAUUACAACUCCAACAUCUAUUUCAAUCUUAGAGAGAACAAUGAGCAAAACCCUAGGAUUGUUGCUACUCUUUUUUCUCCUCCUAUUGACCUCUUUCACAGUAUUUGCCGAAGAGUUUGAAACUCUUCCCAAUCAUUCAGCAUCCCCUGCACCCCAUGUUCACACUCCUUUACAUCCUACUUCUCCUCCUGACCCUUCUAUCAUAAACUCCAUCAUCAUCACCGCCCUCGUGUUCCUUCCCUUGUUAACCCUCUUCAUCAAAGACAUUUUAGUCCAACACAUUUUAGUCCAACACACCCUUCAAUUGCUCCCUCCUUUUGCACCUCACGCACGGUCGCCAAUAUUGCGUCCCACUUCUAUCCCUACAACCUUCAUGCCUGCUCAAGUUGUUGUUUAUCACAACUUUGCUCCUGCUCUUAACAUCCCGCUUCUUGGUAAUUUGUUUUUUUAACUUUAUUAUGCUUAUUUUUUAGACAUGUCUUUUCUGUUGCUAAAACAAAAAUAUGACGAUUGUUAUGAUGUUUUCAAAAUUGCAGGUGCCAUUGCGUAGAUCUAAUGCAAAAAUACUCAUAAGGACGGUUCGUGUAUAAGGCAUUGGACUCACUUCACUUUGAUUUUUGAUUUUUUAAGGCAUGUGUGAAGUUGUUCUAUUAGUAAAACAUGUAGAAAUACCAGUUUACUAGUCUUUUGAUUUGAUUUGUUAUCGAAAUUGAGCAGACACUCAUAGCCAUAGUUUCUAGUCCUUUUAUUUUCUUUUAAUAACAUUGUCUUUUGCUGAAACUCUAUGCUAGCUAAUAGGUCCACGAUUUUGAUGAGUUUUUUCACUUUGGAAAAGCGUGGUUUGUAUCUAUAAUGUGAUAAAUAUUUAGUGUAAAUGAAUCAGUGCCUACUUUUACUGUUCCCAAAUUCAAAUUAUGAUAUUUCUCCCUUUAGCUAGUUUUCUACUGCUACUUCUCUUGGUUAAAUACCAAAACUAAUAAGCUUAAAUAUAUUUUUCUCCUUUGUUUUAGAUACUUCUCUUGGUUAGAUACUAAAAAAUUUGUAAAUUAUGGUUGUCAAAUAAGUUGUCAAUUAAAUUAGUUGUUCAAAUAACAUUCCUCUACUUAAUAUGACAAGUACACGUGAAUUUAUUAUUUUUCGAUUAUAGUAAUGUAAAGUGCAACACUACUGCCUUUUCAACCCAAUUAUUUAUUAGUUGUUCAAAAAAAGAAGAUUAUUAUAAAAGUUGUUAUCAAUUGGUUGUACAAAUAUCACUGCUCUUUCUCUAAUUGUUGAGGUUUGCUUUAAUCUUUCCUUCUCUUUUUUAACAAAAAAAUAUAGACUAACUUGAGUGGGCAUAGUUGUUAUAUAUUUUUGGAUAUAACAUAACGAUCACAAAAGCUAGGCGUAGCAAUAUUUUGUAUAUGCCAAUGUGUUCCAUGAUCAUUAUGGCAUUGUGGACUAUCCUCAUCCUCAUAUUGUAAUUUCACAAUUUCUAAUAAUUAUAAGGUAUAUGUUUAAAUUUCUUUUAAUUUGGGUAUCAGGUUUUACCUCUUCAAGGUACUUUGUUAAAGUUUGAUGGUUUCUGAGUAUAGUUACUUCUGAAUGGCUUUUAUGGCAUCAUUAGUUCCUUAUUGUUAAAUUUUUUAUCCCAAUCUAACAAUAAUGCUAAUAAUAAUAUCCUCCAAUUUUGAGUUAGGAGUGUUUUAUUAAUUUUGUUUCUCUUAAUUAACUUUGUAGCGUUUGUUUGGGUACCUUCACAAGAUUUCAAAAAAAUCAAGAAAAUAAACAAGUCACACACACUCACAACUAAUCACAAACACCAAAACACCCAUUAAGGUAAUCCAAUAUAUGGCUGAAAAAAUACUAUAUACUAACAAGAUUAAUGUCGUAGAUAUAUAAGGAGUGACACACAAGAAACAGAAUAAAAAAAAUGGACACCGCUGUUACAACAAUUCUAAUCACCUAAUUAAGAAUGUAUACAUGACAGUAGAGUUACAAAAAAGGAAAAAAACCAAAACAGUCUUUGGUUAAUUAAACACCCUAAACCCUAAACAACUAUUGAUUAAUUACUUCUUGCUUCUCUCAUGUUGGUGCAAUAGAAACAAGGGCAAAAUCAGUUAGAACAUCCAAUGAGUUUGUGAAAAUCAAACAUAACAUCUAUACUCUCAUUAAAACAAGCAGUAUUUUGGAUCUUCUCGAGUUUGAGUUGAGCCGCUUCUCUUUGAUCUUGUCGAACUUGACCCUUCAUUUGUCUCCAAUUAGACAACGUCUUCUUCACUUCAACAUCAUCAACAAAAGGACCAACAAGUUUUUUGUAAGGAGUUUGAUGAUCUUUAACUCUUUCUUCUUUUUCUUUUUCCCAAUCUAUCAUGAUCUUUGUGAUUGCAACCACAUUAACUGAAACAAAUUUUCUCUUCUUGACACAUUUUCCUUUGAUGGAAAAUGGUUUUGCCUUGAAUCCAACACCUUGAUGAAUCACUUUCCUUUUGCCUUGACACAUUUUAGGGUUUGAUCGUAGGGUUUGUGAAAGGAAGGUUUUUUGUGAAUACAAAAAGACACCAACACAAAGACACAAGCGGUGAAUAAGAAUGUAAUGGAAGAAUGAAUGUGUUUUUGUUAGUUAGGGUUUUGGUGUUGUUGUCUAGUUAAACAUAAGUAACCUUGAUUGAACUGCGGGAAGCUUCCUUCCAACGGUAAUAAAAUCGUGUAAAUAACUAAAAACUAAUUAUUUCUUUUAUAUUUUACUAUUUACUAUUUUUUUUCAUUCUAUUUUUUAUUUUUAAAUUGGACCGUUUCUCUAAAUUGUAAAAUUAAUUGCUUGAAUUACAAAAUUAAUUAAGGCUUAAAUGCACUUUUGGCCCCCUAUAUUUGUCGUCGUAGCCAUUUUGACCCCUAACAAAAAAAAUGCAAUUUUUACCCCCUAAUUUUACCUUGUUUAGGAAAAUAUAUGCUCUUUUGGCCCCUUAUCUUUACAAAAAAGUUGCGAUUAUGGCCCCUUUUUUGGGACAUGUGGCGGCUUCUCAGUAUAGUUGGGAAAAUUAGUGGGCCAAAAUUGCAUUGUUUUUGUUAGGGGGCCAAAAAUUUUACAUGACAAACAUAGGGGUCAAAAGUGUGUUUAAGCCAUUAAUUAAUGUAUGUGCUGUAUUUAAUUAACAUUAGGGUAAAUCUCUCUCUUACAAAAUUAAUUAAUUUACCAUUGUUUUAUUUAUUUAUUUAUUUUGUUAACAUUCUGGUUCCUAGGAUAAAUGAGACCAAGUAAUUUAAAGUUCAACUAAGAUAUAAGUAAAGUUUUGCAAAUAAUUGUUCUUCUUCAGGAUUCGAACUCGGAUUCUCUCGAACGAUUCAUCAUUUGAUGGAGUUCAUUAAUCACUUGAGUUCAAUCCUCUCUAUUCAAAUUAGGUUAAUUUAAUUUUAUUAAACGAUUUUAUUUUCUUUCUUCAAAAAAAACAUUCUUCACUUAGACAACAAUCAUAUGAUAAUUGAAAAUGAGGUUGGGCAGUUCAAUUUAUUUAAGCUAAGGAUUAAAAAAGUUGGAGGUCUAAGGUUUAAACUUAGGCGAGAAGAAAAAUAAUAAUCUAAUAACUAAUUACUAACCAUAGUCAUUUAAAGAAAAUGAAUUAAUUGAAUAUAAUCACACGUGUGUCUGUUGUGUCUUUGUUUGACAAGGACAAGUGUGUUAGACAAUAGACAUGCCUUCGUCGGUGCUACAAAUUUUUUAUUAGUGUAGCUAGCAUAGGCCGUUUAUUGCUCAAAAUUGAAAACAAUUGGACUCAACUCAUUCAUGCUUAUAUACACUAAUAUAUCACCUAUUCUUCAUGAUACCAUGCAUGUUGGAAUCUCUGCUUCAACUGAUAUACUUGCUUGCUAGCUUUCUCAUUACAUCCUAGGGUGGAGCUUUUAAAGUCAAUGGAACAGCACCACCCCUUGAUUUGGGUUCACUCCCGCAACUUCUUCAAUAGCUGGUAUUUCAGUUACAGUUACAGCUUCUGUUAUUGCAUUGCAUGUGUUAUAUAUAGUAUUUGGUAUUUACCUUUAAAAAAAAUCAAGAAUGCGAAUGUAAUAUAAGCAUGGGAGCUUGCUGUUGGGCCACAUUGAUACUCCUAAGUCCUAUCAAGAGCUCAACAAAGCUACAAAAGGUUUGAAGGUUUCAAGGAGAAAGAGUUAUUUGGGACGGGUGGUUUUGGCAGAGUUUACAAAGGAACAUUGUCAAAAUAAAAGAUCCAAGUAGCUGUUUAGAAAAUGAACCAUGAAUCAACACAAAGGCCGAGGGUAUUCGUGUCUGAAAUCACCAACAUGGGCUCGCUUUGCCACCGUAGUUUGGUUCAGUUAUUCGGGUGGUGUUGCCGCAAAGGUGACCUACUUGUGUAUGAUUUCAUGGCUAAAGGAAGCUUAGACUGGUAGUUUUUUGAUGAGGCAAAAUCCAACUUAUCUAUCACAUUGUAUUUUGUCUGAGUGUGUGGAUGAGAAUGGAGGCUCGUAGGUUGUGAUACUCUCUGGAGCCAUGAAACGACAGCGCAUGCUGCUAGGUUGAUGGAAGAGGUAGAGGGAUUUGAGGAGUGCGUGUUAAUGCAGGUCUCGGUAAAAUGAUUGAUCAUCUCUCUUUACAUUCUUCAACGUACAUCAUGCGAUUUAUAUCUAUCUUAUUUCAGAUUUGAGUUGCAUUUUGAAGUAAAACUAGUGUUCAUAACACAUGCAACGGAAUAAAGUUUGGAUCUAUUUUGCGCUUAAAUUAUAAAAUUGUAAAUUAGAUACUAAAAGUGUACCUUUGUAUCAAUUCUUGAAGCAUGAAAAAUUCUUCAAUGAUAUGAAGACUCUACGUGUAUCCACACCGAGACCAAUUCUUACGCUCAACCUUUGAGUAGUGGAACUAGAAAACUAGAGCAUAUUUCUUGUUGUUGUGUUGUUUUGAUCAAAUCAUUUAAGGUCUAUUUAUAGGUCACACACACUACUAUCAAAUAGAAUGUGUUAACUCAUCUUAGUGAUUCUUUUAAAUUCAUAUGGUCAAUCAUUGUAAAUGCAAUUAACAUAUGUUAAUGCUAAUUUACUUAAAAAAAAAAAAAAAAAACGUGUUUGACUAAUAUGAAGACAUUGAUCAUCUUUAACUUCAUAUAAUUGUGUUUAAUACACAUAAAGAUCAUUUCCAUAUGUGUACACAAUUGACCAUAUGAAUAAAUUAAGAAUCUCCGACAUACAAUUUAAUUUUUUUUCAUUUAUUUCAAAAAUAAAUAAUUAUAAUAUGCUCACAUAUAUUAUUUGUAUUAUUUGUAUUCUUUGUACUAGCAAAAAAUACAAUAAUAUUCCACUUAGAAAAUUUAUAUUUUGAUUAAUUAAAUUCUUCAAUUUAAUCAUCAAAUAAUAUAGUUAUUCUUUAGUAAGAAUUAGAGCACUCGUUUGCGUGUGACCCUAUAGGUUCAAUACUAAACUGGUAAUAGAUUAAUCAAAUUAAUAUAUUAAUCAAGGUAGGCGUCUAGUAACACUCCUUAACGUCCAGGUAGUAUGAAGUAUUAUUUUACUUUCAAGAACCAAAUAGAAUGACAUAAUAUUUUUCUUCCGUCGUUACAACUCUUGUUAACUCUAGAGCAUGGUACAAUUGUCAAACUCUAAUAAGUUAACAUAUAUGACUUAAGAAACUCAUUUCUUCUUUCAUUUAGUUUCCCUGGCCAGGGUUUUGAUUUUAUCAUAGAGUUCAAACUCAUUACCAAGAGUUGACGGAUCCCAUCUUGAUUAGUCAUAAAUUAUACAAGCAUUUAAUCGUAUCCAAUAUCCUUUCAACUAGCACCCUAAGGUAUUAGGUGUUCAUAAUCAAAAUACAAUAAAUAACAUGUUAAUUACUAUGACAAUCUCAGGUCAAAGAAAAUUAUUAUAUUCUUUCUUGAGAACUUUUCUAUUGACAUUUUUGUGGUAAUAUCGACCAUUAGAAAUUCUCAGUUGAGUCAGUUCAAUGAUCAUAUCACUAUAUGCAUCAUCUAUAUAUGUAAUUUAAUAAAUGAGAUAUAUUAAUCUUUAUCCAAUAAAGACUAUCACAUAUAUAUUGAUCUAUCCGAAUUAUUGAUGUCCUACUCACAAUAAUCAUACGAUCAAGAACAAUUUAGAUUAAAAAAUAAUAAAAUACUUGUUUCUCAUUAUCGUAAUCUCUAUCAUGAUAACAAGUCCAUAGUUUUAAUCAAGGACUUUAUCAAAUUAACUAUUUCACUAAACAGUAAAUAAGAUAAUGAAUAUUUGUUAAGUCUAAAAUUUGUUACAUAAUUGAUUGGAUCUUGGGCAUCUCCAACACAUUUUGCAUUGGAGGAUUUGUACUCAUCCAUUUGUUCAUGUCAUUAGUAUUAUACAAAUUGUAAUUAAAUUGAGCAUUGAUAGAAGAGUUUCCUAUGAACCUCAAUGACUAUAUUUUUGAGCAUGUGAGUAAUUAAAUUGUUCUUCUCAAUACCAUUCAGUUUUUUGUUUAUUUAUUGCACCUCAGUAAAAGAGUAAGGAGUUUUAUGGCCAAACAAUCGAGGCGAUUUCUUAAUCUACAGUCGUGCUAAUCGAGGCUUUGGAAGACAAUUACAACCAAAGAAUGAAAACUGAAAUUAACUAAGACAUUGUCCGACUAAAAAAGAAAAGGAAGAAGAAGAUGAUCAGAGGAAUCAAGAAGAGAGAGGUUGACUUCACACAUUCCAUGCCUUACUGCAGGCUUGCUUUGUGUGAGUCAGAUAGGUUCUUGCUUGCUUGGCUCUGUCGUGCUAGCAGGUUCAUUACCUUCCUCUUUAAAUCAACCUUAAGGUUGAAUAUAGGGUCCUGCUCUUUACAUUCCUGGUUGGGCAUAGGCAAUGGAUGUAGAAGACCAUCACGAGGAAUGUUUUCUUUUUUUUGUUGUUGUUGGGAAAUGACACACCGUCGCCCAAAUUGUAAAAUUGAACCACCACUCUAGCAAUUUGUUCCGGAAAAUACAUUGUUUGAUUUGUAAAAUUGUUGGAGGAACAAGACAAAUCAAACUGAAAUUUUUGUCCUUCGCCAAAUCACCGCACAACUUUUUGUAGUACAUAUAGGUUGUUUAAAAUAAUAAAAUAACAUUUUGUACAUCAAAAAUCGUACAAGACCAAAAAUUAUUUAAUACAUAAAAAUUUAUCUUAUGUUCUUUUAUCUUGUGCUGUGUUGUUCUAUUUUGUGGUGUUCUGUCCAGUGCUUACUGUUUUGAACUUAUAAGAUAUAUCGAUAAAAAAUAAGUUUGGAAAUUUACUUAUAAUCAAAACGGGUUAUGAACCGAAUCCGAACCGGUUUGGACCCAUUUCUCAUAAAAAUAAAAAUAAAAAUAAAAAUAUGUGGUUUGUUUACUAUCCAUAAAAAUCUGAAGUUAUUUUUUUUGUUUAUAACCAUAAAAAUCAUUUUAAAAGAAAUUAGUUUUAACGUAUACAUGUGUUACCUUUUUGUUUUUCAAAAAAAUAGAUUUUGACAAAAUUCUUUUUUGUUUUUAAGAAGUUAAAUUAACCUAUCAAAAUUGACACGAGAUAAUCGAAUUUGACGUGAACACAUUCCUAGAUCCCAAGUCAUAUCAAUAGGCCAACUCAAAUAAAUAGGUAGAUUUUGAAAAAGUUAAUUUUAUUAGUAUUUCAUUUUAUGGGCAAAAUAAUCUUUUUGGAUAAAGUUAUUUUUCUAAAAAUACUAAACAAACAUUUAACAAAAAAAACUGAAACAAACGGGCCUUAGUUAACUACGCACACCCCUGUCCAUAACCAUUUCUCCACACACAUAAGAAACUAGGGUUUCAGUAUUCAUUCACUGUGUGCGUGUGUUCUUGCCGCCCCUAGCUAAAUCUGCAAACAUGGCUACCCAAAUGAGCAAAAAGCGAAAGGUUAGUUCUCAGAUUCGUUAAUCUUAAUCCAAUUCUUCUCUAUUACCAGUAAUUCUUAAUUUGAUUUGGUUUGUGUUGUUGCAGUUCGUCGCUGACGGAGUUUUCUUCGCUGAAUUGAAUGAGGUUUUGACAAGAGAGCUUGCUGAAGAUGGUUAUUCUGGUGUUGAAGUUAGGGUUACCCCUAUGCGCACUGAGAUCAUCAUCAGGGCUACUCGUACCCAAGCUGUUCUCGGUAACUCAUUUCAUCAAUCUUCUUUCAAUCUGAUUUAUUUUUGUUUCAUUUUCGGUUUUUUCUUAUGAUUUAUGCAAUUGUUGUAUAUGGUUACAUGAUUUCGUCAUUUUGAUUUCAUUUGUUUUUCCCUAAUGAUAAUGACAAUGAUUUUUUUGUUCUUGUUUUGUUUUGGAUUUUAUAUAUGAUUGAUAUAUGAAAAUGUUAUUUAUGGUUAUGAAUAUGUGAUUUUAGUUUUAUUUGUAUUUUUCUCCUCUAAUUAUGUAUGAUAAUGAUUUUUUACUUAGGUUUUUUCUAGAUGUUAUGUAUGAUUAUGUAUAUUAGGUUUUUGUCUAGAUGUUAUGUAUGAUUGAUUAUGAAUAUGUGAUUUUAGUUUUAUUUGCAUUUUUUCCUUUCAAUAUGUAUAAUGAAAAAAAAAAUGCAUCAUAAUGAUUUUCUUACUUUUUUUUUUUUUUCUUUUUCUUCUAGUGAUAUAUUAUUUUUGUUUUAAUUUGGGUUUUAAUCAUGUGAUAAAUGAUAUAUGAUUUGCGUUUUAUUUUGCGUUUUUGUGAUUUAUAGGCGAGAAGGGAAGGAGGAUUAGAGAGCUGACCUCAGUUGUGCAGAAGAGGUUCAAGUUUCCUGAAAACAGUGUUGAGCUUUACGCUGAGAAGGUCAACAACAGGGGACUUUGUGCCAUUGCUCAGGCUGAGUCUCUCCGCUACAAGCUUCUCGGCGGUCUUGCUGUUCGCAGGUAUAUAAACAUAACAUGUAACAAUGCUUGAAAUUAUGCAAUUGCUUUUAAUGAAAUAAAUCUCACAGAUAUAUAUAUAUAUAUAUAUAUAUAUAUAUAUAUAUAUAUAUAUAUAUAUAUAUAUCUGUCGAAGUUAAAUAUUAUUAGGAGAAACAAUUGGAACUGAUUCUUUUCUGUGAUUAUGAAUUUGUACCAUAUUUGUUUAUGUUUAGCUAUGGUGGAAAAGUAAAACCCAUUCUAGGUUCUUAAAAUGUUCAGCAUUCAGUUUUUUUCUUUGUAAAAUAGAUCAUGAAUAGUCAACAUGAACCAUAUAUAUAUAUAUAUAUAUAUAUAUAUAUAUAUAUAUAUAUAUAUAUAUAUAUAUAUAUAUAUAUAUAUAUAAAUUUCAACACUCAAAGCUGUCUUCGAUGUUUUUUGUAUUAUUGUUUCUUGAUUUUUUAAUUUUAAUAGAGUAUUGAAGUAUUUGUAGACUUUUUUUAAAGAGGACUAAACUAUGCUGUGCAUUUUUCUUGGGCAUUAGAAUGAAUCUUUAAUCUUGAUUUAAACUAGUCUGGCCAUAUAUGCUUUAUGAGUCCCAAAUUAGGGUGGCAUUGAAAAUUUUUGCGACUGCUUUGUCCUGUGAUUGGAUACAAGACAUGUGACUUUACCAUUUCUUUAGACUAAUUUUCUCUCUUGCUCAAAACAUUACUCACCAUCUCCUUAUUCUGAAAAACAAAAUGUGAUGUUUGCUGAUUACUAUCUAACCUGUUUUAUGUUUUGCUAUGUGCUAUAAAACUGAAAUCAUUUUUCUUUUUUUAUUCCAAUGUUAUUUGUUGACUAAUUGUAUUACAGUGAAGUUCUAUUAGCUUCAACAUAUGCUCAUAUUAAUUGAUACACUUAAUCUGCAACUACUGUAACAUGGUGAUUUUCUUUUUGGAGAUUGCAUGUUUUCGGUCCACAUCUUAAAUCCCUCUUUUUGUACCGAUACAUUUCAAUUUUCCUUUUACUGGUGUGUAUUUCCAAUGGUGGUAAUUAAAAAUUUCCCAUUUUUGAUUUUCUUGAAUACAAUUUUGUGCUAACAUAAUAAACUGUGUCUCUAACUAUUUCUUUCAGGGCCUGCUAUGGUGUGUUGAGGUUUGUCAUGGAAAGUGGUGCCAAGGGUUGUGAGGUUAGUUACACAUGCACUGCUUUGAAAUCCUAUUUGUUGUAUUGUGAUCUGUAAUGAAUAUUGGUUGUAAUUGCUGUAUCAUUUGAGCAGGUUAUUGUCAGUGGAAAAUUGAGGGCCCAAAGAGCCAAAUCCAUGAAGUUCAAAGACGGUUACAUGAUUUCUUCUGGACAACCAGUCAAGGACUACAUUGACUCUGCUGUGAGACAUGUUCUCCUUAGACAGGUUAGCUUAUCAUCUAAGAACCUUAUUGGUUUUCUUUUGCCUCUUGCAUUUCAUGUUGGUCAUUCAUUUGGUUUGUUAUGGAUUUAUGUUGCUAAUGUUUGUGUCGUUUGUGUUGUAGGGUGUUCUCGGCAUUAAGGUGAAGAUCAUGCUCGACUGGGAUCCUAAAGGAAAGCAGGGCCCUAAAACUCCCCUCCCUGAUAUUGUCACCAUUCACACUCCAAAGGAAGAGGAGGAGUACAUCAGGCCUGCUGCUGUUGUGGCCAAUGAUAUCGAGGUCCCUGUCCCAGUCCCUGUUGUUUGAAAAUGUUUCGAUUUGCUUUGGAGUAGACCUUUUAAUUAGCGAUGCGUCUGGUUUGACUGUUUUGUUACAUUCAGUAAUUGUUAUCAAAGACUUCUGCAAUUUUUGUAGUUUUCAGUGUUUGUUGUCCAAGACCUUCGCAAUUUUUGUAGUUUCAGAUUUUCUAAAAUAUUGUUAUACUAAGUUGCAACUUUGCAAGUAUUUAAGCAUUAAUUAAUUGUUAUUUUUUAAUAUGAUCUUACUAAAGAAAAUUUCCCACUAACAUCUUUAUGUUCAUUAUCUCAAAUUUGCAUCUCAGUUUUGUUGAUGCAAUUUUGAGAAUUUUACAAAGUCACAUGCAUUGUAGCAUUUUCAAGGAUUGUAUGAGCAUUUGCAUGUUUAAUUGUUCUAGAGGAUUGUUGGGGCAUUUGCAUGUUUAGUUGUUCAAUUCAAUUUUUAAUAAUAAGCUAUUCUGUGUUUGUAAAAUAAUCUCAAUGUAGUUUAAGGGGUACCACAAAAUGUUUGUAAUUCUUGUAAGAUCGCAUCUAAUUUUGCUUGUAAAAUUUUAAAAGCAAAAUCUAAUUUUAUUUAUGAGUCGAACAUAAAUAUUGAUGUUUUAUCUCACCUCAAUGUGUUUUUUCAAUCAGCAAUUAAAUUUGCUUGCUUAUGCAGAACCAAAAAAAUUAGGGGACAUAAAUCUAACUAGAAUAAGAAGAAAAAAACUCAUUACAUAAAAUAUUUUAUUUUUAUAUUCUCCAAUAUAGUCUUUAUUUGUUACAUGACAGCUUCAAUAACCAACAAUACGUAUGUUUGAGAAAGUGUUACCUUGUUGGUCAGAUAUGAGAACAUUGGGUAUAGCAGAACCACUUGAGCGUCAUGUAAGAAUGGUGGUCGAUAUCUCACGGUGUUGGUGGUGAGUUAGGGUUACAAUAAAAACAAUUUUUUUGUACAAAUAGUUUUAAGUUAAAAUUGUUUUAAAUUUAGUAAAAAAUACUAACUGAAACUCAUUUUACCGACUUGUAUAUAGUUUCAAAUCUAAAUUUGAAAAUACUUUUUUUCAAUUUGAAGUGUUUUCAAACAUUUUAAUUCAACAAAAAAAUCACUAUAAGAGAUAAAAUAGUUUUACGUCAAAUCAAAACUCAUGUUAUUACCACCAAAGCUAUUUUGUGAUCAUCAUUUAAAAAUAAAUUUCUUGUUCUAUUUUUUGGAUAGACAAAAUGACAAUACACGUUAGAAACUUAUACACACAAAUAAAAGAGUCAAGGUUUGAACCUUAAUCAUGAUAUCCAACCUACCAAUUUUGACAUUUUUACCUUGUUCCUCUUUUAAUUAUGCUAAAAUAUAUAUUUAAAAAAUCAAGUGAUAAAACUAAUUGAUUAAUAAACUUCAAUGUCUCCGUGAACUUAACUCAGUUGGUAGGGACAUUGACACAUUACAUAAUAUAAUUUUGGUAGAUAGACGAGAUGACAAAGUCAUCAUAAACUCACACACAAAAUGGAGGUACCGGGGGUUCGAUCAUGACAUCUGGCCUAACGAUUUCGGCAUUUUUGCCAGUUGAGUUAGGACUUAUAUAACCUCGGACAUCUUUCUUGUUCACCUUAAAAGUGAAUUUUUAACUACUAAAUUAUUUAAGUAAAAAUAAACUUCAACUAAACGAACAAAAGAAAGAGUUUAAAGAAAAAAAAUAUUAAAAAAAAAUAAAAAAUGCAUAGUACCCUAAAAUAACUCACCGUUUGCUUGUAUUUGGGUUGGACUGAGAUAAUUUCGACCCAUGUCCAUGACCCGAAGCCCAAACUCCAAAAUUAGGGUUUCCACUCUUCUUCGCCGUUUAUGAACCCAUUUCUUCUAUAUAAGUAUCAAAAUGUCGCUAUGAGGUUGGAAAAAAGAAAUCGCUCUUCAGAACCUUAAUUCAGACCCAAAAAAAUUAUUUCCACUCUUCUUAUGUUGUUAAUAUUGAUUUUCUUUUAUGUGUUUCAUGUCUACAAACAUUUGUGAAUAUGUUUUUUGUUUAAGAUUAGAUUGUUUCAUUUUGUCAUCUAUAAAGCAGAUCGGCUACUUUGUGCCAUGUUUGUGUCGGAAGAUGACUAAAUCAUUUUAUAUCCUCUGUAUGUUACUAUAACUCAUGAAUUUAAUUUAUAUUCAUGGGUUUACAUUUGUGGGUACAUUUUUUUGUUUCACUUGUUUUUCCUUCUGCUGGGUUUGCUUCUAUAUCUUUUUCUUAUGAAAUUGUUUUUGUUAUAACACUAGAUCUGUCAUCUACAAAGCAGAUUGGAAUUUAUUUGCCAAUUUUGUGUCGGAAGAUGACUAAAUCAAUUUAUUUCCUCCAUUUCAUAAUUUCAUGGAUUUGUUAUAUAUUCAUUUGGUAAUGUUGAGGGAUAGUAUAUUUUCUUUAGCAUUUUAAAAAUUGGAAUCCUUAGGACUCAAUUGUUGCAACUGGGUUUCUCAAUGCUAUUGUUUAACAAACUCUUGUUUGAGGGGUUUGGGUGAGAGACAUGUAUUGAGAGGUAAUCUUGCCCCUAAUGCUAUGUUAUAUAUGUAUCUUUCCCUUUACCCUUUCAAACAAUAAUUUGUUAAUUGCUGUUCCAAUCUUCUCAUACCUUAGAAGAAGGCACUGAGAAGAAUUCCGCACAAUACAAGCCUUUACUAGUAGGACAAUUAAAAGAGAACAUGGAAGUUAAAAGAGAUUCUCCCAUUCAUUUAUCAGCUAUUGUUAUCUUUUUAUCAUACACCCUCUCUCCAAAAUUAGCUGUUCUCUUUCUUAAUUUAUUUGUUUCAAACUAUUUGUCGUUAUUUAUACGGUUAAAUAUUUUUUUUUAUCCCUAUAAAUAUACAAUCCUCUCUAAAAAUUUUCAUUUCAACUUUUAGGAUGAAUUUAUAAAAUUAUCUUUUGUUACCAACAUGGGAAAAUUAAAAGAGCUUUUUCAUGACAAAAAAAAGAAUUUUUUACAAUAAAAUAAAUUUCAUUCAUUCAAAUGUUAAAAUAAGCAAAAUAUAAUCAAAAGCAUCCAUAUUUGAGAUCAUAACUAAUGAUUAACAUAGACAAACAUACGAUAAUACAUAUAAGUAAGAGAUUCUUUCACAUAUGAUUGAACAUUAAUAACAAUGUAAGAUCCUUGGUCUUUAAUACCAUCCAGCUACGGACAAAGAUAUUUGCAAAUGUUUGCUCAAUUCGACUAUAAGAGGUCUCAUGUAUGACCAAUUACAUCGCAUGCUCAUAAAUAAAAGCACAAACCCCUGUCAAGCAUUUCAACAAACACAUGAGAGAUACACUUAACACAACAAAUAGUAACAAAACAUGACAGCGAAAUCAUAAAAAAAACCAUCAUGACCUAUAGAUCUCAAACUAUGUAUGUAUCGAUGGAGUAUCCAAAGUCCGUCCUUGUCAUAGUGUCGAGGCGGGGCGGUUGGAGGAUGUUUCAACAUCUGACAUGGCAGCUAUUAAGCCGAAAUAAAGAGGUGGCGGUUGGGGUUGGAGAUGAUCCAUGGAAGAAUGAAUUAUAAGAGUCCGGAUCCGUUGGAAAUAGCUUUUGACUACGAAAGACUGCAACUCCAUGCGUGGAAAUUGGCAAAGUUGAUUCGGUGUGAGAAAAUUAUAGCAACUGGUUGAGGAAUAGGGGAAAGUUAAGUUGGUUAGAGGAAAACCCACCAUCAUGUGAAAUUGGGAAUGCAUUUAAAGCAUGAAGGUAUUGAAACUAAAAAGGAAUCUUAGAGUUGAACGAAGAGAGUAAUAAAUGGUGCAUGGUUAGGCACGGAUGAUUGGGGCUAGAGAAAUACUAACAACACAUAUUACCAAAUUUAUAUGGGACCCAUGUGAAUUUUAACCAAUUAGAAGGUGCUAGAAUGUGUGUUGCUAGCCUUCCUCUUGAGGCAUUGACGGCGCCACUAAUCGUACCUAAUUAGAAGGUGGUUGUCGGUGCUUUCUUUAAUGCGGUGGUUCAUGGUGGUGAGAGUACUUCAGUGAGCGUUGGACCGAAUGAGGGGUGUACCUGCAGACACUCCGAUGCUCAAGCCAGUAGAGGUUCAUAAUGGAGUGGAGUAAUGGUUGUACAAUUGUACUAUGUCCUUUUUCCUGCGCUCUUUAGUGGAUAAGCAUCCAAUGCCUUCUAAUUCCUCUGAAAUAGCAAUUGCUCCAGGCUUUCAUUCAUUCUGCAAUGAUAUGCAUUCAGAAUAAUAACUUUUAACUAACUUCAGCUUCCAGUCUUCAGACUCUGAUAAACUCCAGCUUCUGAGGUUCUUCAGAUUCUGAUGACGUCAACUUCUAGUAGACAACUUUUGAUGGUCUUCAGAUGCUCUUUGUCCUCAGACUCUGUCUUGAAUCUUGCAACACACGCUUCCUUGUUGUAAAUUUCAUUGCUCUCAUUUGUUCUUUCAGAACCUAUACUUGAAUUAUAAUUUGACUAUGGUUCUGCACACUUGAACAAAUAUUAACAUAUCCAAUUGACAUUUUUAAUAUCUUGUUAUCAUCAAAACUUAAAGGUAAUAAUGGUAAACACAUUUUGUUCCAACAGGACGCAAUUGGAACUUACUUUUCCAGAGAGUAGUUCUCUUGUGUGUUUUUCCCCUUUUCUUUUUUCUGCUUGUUUCCUUUGUUCCUUUGCCUUGUAAAAAAAUAAUUAAAAAUUGCUCCCAUUAAAUGGAAAUUUAUACUAUAAAAAGAGUAUUUUUUUUCAGGAAUUUUAUAAAAUCAAAUGUGUAAAUGCAUUUGAGAUGAAAUUCUAAAUGAUAUUUACCAUACUUUUUUAAAUAUAAAGACACGUAAAUAACAAUUUUAAUUUGUAGAUGUUAAUAAAUCUUUAAUUUUUCCAAUAUAUAAUAGUAUAGUGUUUAUAAUGUCAAAUAUUUUGCUUAAUGAUAAUAAUGUUAUUAUUUUAUUACUUUUGCAUUGCUAAAAUUUUGUAUAAAUAUUUAUCAUAUAAAAUAUUUCCCUUGCUAAAAUAAUGUUAUUAUUAUUAUCAUAUAAAAUAUUUAUCAUAUAAAAUUUUGUAUAAAUAUUUAUCAUAUAAAUGUUAUUUUUUGGAGAAGUUAUUAUUUAUCAUAUAAUAUUUUAUAUGAUAAAUAUUUUAUAUGAUAAUAAUGUUAUUAUUUUAACAGUAUAGAAGUUAUUAUUUUGCUUAAUGAUAAUAAUGAUAAGAAUUAAAAACUGACGAAUAUUAAAACAUAUAAUUUUUUAAAAAUGACAUAUAAUAAAAUAUAGAGUAACUAGCUAGGGUUUUACCUUGAUUUGUACCUUAUGACAAAGAAGCAAGAGAACAAGAUUCAGUAAUUCAAAGUUAUUAUAGAAGAGCUAGAUAAAUACAUAUGAGUAGGAGAAGUUGAGAGGCAUGAAUUAUGCAACUAAGCUAAUCCACUAGAAUCUAUGGUUACAAUAAUUGUUCAGAGUAUCUCCUACCACCCUUACCAUAACCGUUCAGAGGAUUCAGUAAAUGACUAUCAGUACUGAUAAUCAAAUUAGUGUUAAGGCUUCAAAUAAAUUUUCCUCAUAAUUAUCUUCAAAACAUUAUGUUUAUGCACUUUUCCUCAUAAUUUCUGUGUUUUCGUAUGUUAUGUGACAACCUGCAAAUAAUCUAUACUCACGGGUACCGCAAUAAUCUAUUUUUAUCACACCUUAAUUGUAUCAUGUCAUUAUUAACUAGUGCAUACAUUUUAAUCAUUUUUCAAUUUACAGUAAAAUAUACUUUUUUGUUCAACUCCAAAAACAGGAGAAAGUUAUACACACAAAGCAACAAUAAAUAAUUAAAAUAAAAUAAUAUUACUACACAAUAAUUUCAUUCAAACAAAAAAGAUUUAAGAAUAGUGUGUUGAAAGAAUUGCCAUAAAACUUCAUGCACUUCAAUAGUUUCUUAACAUAUAAAAAAUUAACACAGCGUGAUAAAAGAUAGUUUAUUGAUGAUAUUCCGAGUGUGAUUAAAAAAUUGAUUUGAUUUUACACUGAAUUAUUUUUUAGAAAAAUACAAUUAAUUCAAAUUGUAAAACAAAGACGGUAUUGUCAAUUCUGAUUUAUUUGAUUUGAUCAUAUAACACAUGUCAACUUGAUAUACUUACACUUUCAAAAAAAAUAAUAUUUAUUAUAGAUUGAAAAAAGUAUAUAAAAAAAUUAAUUGAAAUAUGAUAAUUUAUGUGAUGUAUUUUAUAAAGAUUCAGUCAAAUAAAUGUUUAUUAAAAAUAUAAAAUAAAGGUCAUUGAAAAAAUUCUCAAUAAUACAAUUGUUUAGUCUACAACUAUUUAAUAAAAACAGUAAUAUAUUGAUAUUAACUUUUAGAAUAGAUAACGUUAUCAAUUAUGGAUAAGAUGAUUGAACAUAUAUUAUGACUGGUUUAAGCAAAUAUGAAUUUUGAGUUGGUAUAAGUCGGCUAGUUCUUAAUAAGUUGAUUAGUUCAAGUCAAUAUUUGAUUUUAUGUGUUUAUUGAAACUUUUGACUUAAGUUUGCUAUAUUUCUAAAAGAAACUAUUUUAGAUAAAGAAAAUAUAUGUGCCGUAAAAUAAAACUUAUAAAAAUUUUAUGGUAAAAUACUAUAUAUAUAUUAUUACGUAGUAAAAUAUAAGAGUCUCAUUUGGUAAUUUAAUUGGAGAUUCAGGUUCAAAUUUAAUCUUGAGACUAUAACAUUGUUAAAUCUUUUGUGAGAAAAUUUUGUUUGUCAUUGUGGUCGUAUCCGAUUUGGGAUUAGUGUAUAUAGUUUUUUUUUUUUUUACAAGAGAUUACACACAAAUGAUACUCAUUUCACACACACAAAAAAAAUUAUAGAUACUUUUCUAUAAAGAAAGAUCACAUUAUUCUAGAUACAUUUCUAAAACUUCUUUUACCUUGACAAUGGAUAUCAAUUAAACUCUUAAAAAUAUGCAUGUCAUUUAAUAGAUUAUAUAAUAUAUUUAUUAUUUUUGUUGUGAUUGUUAGCUAUAAUGUAACAAUCAUUCUUAAUCAAUAGUAAAAAUUAAGAUAAUAAAAAUAUUUAAGAUAAAAAAAAUUAACUGAAUUAAUUUGGUGUUUACACAUUUUUGUUUUGGUCAAAUAGCCUAGUGGUUAUAAAUUCACUUUUUGAGAUGAAUAAAUGGCAUGUUCAUGGUUUGAACACUGGUUCAUACAUAUAUUAUGCAAUGUCACUAUCUGAACUAAACUCACAGGAAUAAUUUGGUGUUUACACAUUAUACAUUGUCUUGCGUGACAAACCAUUUUUUUAAUAAUAAUAAUAAUAAUGUCGAUAAGAAUUGAUAAAACAAAUGAUGAUUUUUUUUAUUUGAACACAAUUUUUACAUAAUAAACUUAUUAGUAAAAAAAACGUGAGACUAUUUUCCUUUGAUAGUCACUCCUAUUUUUCAUCUUAGCUGAGAACAAAACCAUUUCUGUGGCGAAUAUGUUCUCUCUUGGCCUGGAGCAGGGAGGGGAUGGGUGGAGGUGGAGACGUAGGUUGUGGGCUUGGGAGGAGAUUUUAUUAGAGGAGCUUAGGGCUUUACUGCUUGAUGUUUCUUUGUUGCCUAAUGUUUCAGACAGAUGGUUGUGGUUACCUGACCCUUUGGGAGGUUAUGCUGUUCGAGGAGCCUAUGAUCUUUUAACAGAGGGUGCCAAUCCUCUUUUACACAGCGCUUUGGAGCUAGUUUGGCAUCAUCAGGUCCCCUUGAAGGUCUCGAUUUUUGCUUGGAGACUUCUUCGGGAUCGGUUACCCACAAAAGCAAAUUUGGCAGCUCGUGGUGUUCUUCAUUCAGAGGCGACACUUUGUGAUACAGGAUGCGGUCAUGUUGAAACAGCCGAACAUUUGUUUUUAUUUUGCCCAAAUUCUGUUUUAUUGUGGCAGCAGGUGCGCAAUUGGCUAGGUUUUAUGGGGGUGGAUCCUAAUAAUCUUCCUGAUCAUUUGGUGCAGUUUACUUAUUUGGCAGGUGUUGGUAAAGCUAAAUGUUCCUUUUAACAGCUAAUCUGGAUUCUAUGUACUUGGAUUGUGUGGAACGAACGUAAUAACCGCCUGUUUAAUAAUGUUGUAACGGACGUCCCGAAGUUGCUGGAUAAAAUUAAAUUGUUAUCAUUAGGGUGGCUGAAAGCUAAAAAAGCCAUGUUUAUUUAUGGUACUCAUAUGUGGUGGUCAAGUCCUAUAACAUGUUUAGGAAUUGGCUAACCACUACUAGAUUCUCUUACUUUGGACUUUGUAACACUUUGUAUCUUGUAGUAGUUUCCUAGGCACACCUUGUGCUUGGAAAUUGCUUCUGUUGUGGUAAUAUAAUCCCAUUUUGAUUUGUUCAAAAAAAAAAGAUAGCAACGAAAAUAAACAUAUUAUAUAAAUUCAUAGACAACUUACAACAACUAUUUCAUAUAAUUUUUAUGCUUUCAUUACAUUUUUUUUAAGGAAUAUGCUUUCAUUACAUUGAAAAGUUUCUUUAAACCGAUUACAAUUUUUUUAAAUGACUUACCCUAAAUGUUUUAGUAGUAAAAGUAAAAAAAAUAAAAAUUAACAGAUAUUUUAGAAAUUUUAUAGUAAGAAAAAAAUCUGAAAAGUACAACUAAUUCUAAUUUUCUCAAUUCUUAUUCAUAUUACCUUUUAUCAUAUUGUACCUUCUAACUCUUGCUUAAAAAAUAAGUUUAAUAGCAAUUUUCGCCCCCUAACUUUUACGAAGUUGCGAUUAUGACCCCUAAGAAAAAAAAACUACAAAACCGCCCCUUAAGUUUUGGCCCCAAGGCCAAAUUUUGGUAAAAAACAAAAAACAAAAGAAAUAUCACGUGGCACCUCACUUAGGGUGCCACGUCAGCGUAGACCGAGUCAAAAUUGGCCUUGGGAGCCAAAACUGCCACAGAUGCAAAACUUAUGGGGCGGUUUUGUAGUUUUUUUCUUAGAGGGUCCAAAAUUGCAACUUUGAGAAAGUUAGGGGGUUAAAACUGCUAUUAAGCAUAAAAAAUAAUAUGCCAUAUCUACAUAUGAUUUUUUUAGUUCUUAUCCAUUCACCUUUGAUAUUGUAAUAUACCUUAUCUACUAGGAUGUACAUUGCUACAUGUCAUUGUACUUAUAUAAUUAGUGCAUGCCCAUGUAUUUAUAUAUUGAAAAUCAAACUCUUUGUCAAACCAACAAUAUUAAGGAUUACUAAGACUCAUUGCACCUUAUAUACCUCAUAUAUAGUUACAGUCAAUAUUUCUUUCGAUUUUUAUAAAAGAUGUAUAAUUUGAAAGUUCUCAAGUUUUCUCGCGUCUUCUCCAAUUCUUUCAAUGGCCCUCUUCAGGUUAUGUUUGUUCUUUUCUCUUCCAUUUCAUUUUAAACAAUGAGGUUGGUUUCUCCUUGUUAAUUCUGUUUGUGUUGUUUACAAAAAAAAAAAAAAAAAACGAGCUUUAUUUAUUGCAACUGAAUUUAUAUAUUAAUAAAACCAUGUUCUUGCCAACAUGGUAUUGAAAAAGUUGGUAACACAAGUUUUUCCUACAAAAAAGAAACUGAAUUUGAUUCAGAAAAUUGCAUUGUUUGAGAGGCAAUCCAGCCCCAUAAAAAAAUGGAUGUCAUGUUGUGGGUUCAAGAAUUACUCUCAUAGCAUACCAAAUUGGCUUAUACCAUGGGGAUACCCUAUGAUGCCUACUGAGGGGGUCAAAAACUAUGGUGGGUUAGACUGAAAAAAUAUCAAAUUCUAAUAAUGCAUAUAUAAAAUAAUCCCCGUAUAUAUUCAUUUUCAUAUUUUUAAUCUUUGACACAUUUAUUUUGUUUUUGUAGGUUGGAUCCUACUCUAAAGAGGGGAAAUCUCUAUUUUCAUAUUUAUCAUAUUUCAUUACCCUAGUUAGCAUUGCUGGAUCCAAGACGAGAAAUCUUCAAUCAGUUAUUGCUAGGCUUAAACACAAAAAAAAUCGUUGGGAUCAUAGUCUAUUGAAGGAACAUGUUGGCAGUAGUCUUUUGGGUAAUACCAUGAAUUUAGUGAAAGAUGAAAUUAUUGAUAAUGAAAAUCAUGUCCAUAGAAGUGAUAACAAUUCUGAAGACUUUGAAGAAGUAAAUGAUGGUCAAUAUUCUUCACUCAAACUCAUUGAUGAUUCUUGUUUCAUUUCUCUUGAGUUGAAUGACUUUUUUGAAUCAAACCUCCCAAAAUUAGUAAAAGGGUGCAAACGGGUCUUACUUUAUAGGUAAUUUUUCUUUAUAUUUGUGUAUUGAAUAAUAUUCUGCUUUUUUCCGGUUGAAAUAUUAAUAUUAAUUCUUUUUUUGAAUGUUUGUCAGUACAUUGAAACAUGGGAUAUCACUUCGUACAUUGAUCCGUAACAGUUCUCAACUCACUACUCCUGGUUUGUUGGUAUGUUAUAACAAUUAUGAACGAAAAAUAUAUCUCUUAUUGUAGUAAGAUAAAUGAUUUUUUAAGAUCAAAGUUCGGCGUCAAAUAUAUAAGGGUUAAAUAAGUUUUUUAUUCAUGUAGAUAUAUCGAAUUUUGAUUUUAUACGCUAAAAAAUAAAAUGUUUCAAUCGUCGCAAAAUUUUUUGUUUUGUUUUUUGUCCAUGUGAAUAUACUUUUGACAUGUUCUUAACAUUUUUUGAACAUAAUAAAUAGACAUAACAUGAAGGCGUCUUGAACAUAAAAGAGUGAUAGUCUUACAUUCAUAUGACUAAAAAUGGGUUAUUAGCAACCAAAAACAAAAUGAUAAUUUUUGUGAGGGUGAAAAUAUUUUGCCUUAUUUUUUAGGGACCAAACUCAAAAUUCAAUGUAUUAUUUGGGACGAAAAACUUAUUUGACCAAUAUAUAAAUAUACAUGAUAUUAUAUGUAUUUUAAUAUUCAAAUAACACAAUUGGUAUAGUAUAUAUACUAAUAUGUAGUUUUUUUUUGGCUUUUCUUGAAAUACAAUUAUAAUCGACCAUUGUUAUGUUGAUAAUUAAACUCAAAAUUUUGGAAUAAAUUCUAUCAUUUAGUAAUUUUUAAAUUUUAUUUAAUGAUAUAUUUUAAUCAAAAAUUGAAUUAGGAUAAAUUUAGAUUUAAUUUGUUUCGAUUGAUUUAAGAAUUGGAUUAGAUUUGAUUCAUAACAUAAAUUAGGAUUGGAUCAAAUUUGAAUUGAUUCAAAUUUCAAGUUUGAAAUUAGGAUUUGAUUCAAUUAUUUAUUUAGAUAAAAAAAAAUUUAUAAAUAAUAGACAAUAAUGCUAAGAUCUACAUUGUAGCCAUGUCUUAUAAUGUCAUGAGCUACAUUGUAGUCACAUACCUUUAUUUAAAAUAAAGUUAUAUUUGAUAUAGGUCUUGACUUAGUUUUUGAUAUUACAAUGGUUUGUAAUUAAAUGUGACUGAUGUUUUCUCAAUUAGACAUGAUAUCAAAAACUAUAUAAUAUCACAACCUACAUUAGAGUUACAUACAUUUAUUUAAAAUAGUGAGUAUAACAUCAAUAUACUAAUUGUAUUUUAUUUAUAUUUGUUUUGAAAAAACUAUAGAUUGUUGGAGAUAUGAAAGGGGCUGUGUUUGGUGCGUUGCUUGACUGCCCCUUAAUUCCAACAACAAGGCCUAAAUAUCAAGUAUGUGAACUCUUUUUCAUAAUACUCUAUUAAUUUUGCACAAACAUAUGGUUUUAAUGUGUUGAAGUACAUUCCUUCAAAAAAAUUUUUUUGAAGUAUAUGGUUUAUUUUUCUAUUUGUUCGUAACAGGGGACACACCAAACUUUUGUGUUUACAAACUUAGAUAGUCAUCCAAGAAUUUUUCGACCAACAGGUAAGGUUUUAAUUAAUUGAUGUGUAAAUACAUUUUUAUUUUUUAUUUUUGGUUUGAUAAGAGUGUAUACAAAGUAGAAACUUUAGAAUUAUCAAAAUCUAUAAAGGGUUUAUUGUAGCAGUUUGAGAUCAAAUAUAUUUUUUCAAUUUCAAAUGAUGUGUUUUCUCAAUAUAUUAAUUAGUUAUAACACGGUAAAAAAAAACUAGUAACACGAUAAAAAUAUUAAAAGUGUGAAAUUAAUUAAAAUACUUGUUGAAUUACCUUUUACAACUAUGUAUUAAUUAAAAAUAGAGUCAAGCAGUCUAAAAAAUUGGCCAUUGAUUAAAUUUUGAUCACCUCAUGUAUUAUUUCACUUAAUUUUAGUGGUAAUUGAAAAACACAGUCCCAAAAUUAUUGUAUGAUAAUGGUUAAAUCCUAUUUCUAAUCCACAUUAUACUUCAUAAUUCAGAUUGUCGAUUUAUAAUCAAAAGGAAGAAAUUAAACAAGUGAUUGGUAACUUAUGAAGGUUGUUGUUGUUGUUGUUGUUAGUAUUAUUAUUCUUAGACAAAUGAAAAUGAUUAUGACUAUUUUUUUAUGAAAUUCAACAAUUUGUAAUCAUUUAAAGCGACAUAAGUUAAUAGUUUCAAGCAAUAUCCUAAAUAUUUUUCAUUUUAAUUUUCUUUUGAUUGAUAAUUGAUGUCGCAAUUUUAUAUGGUUAAUUCUAUUCUAGGUGUUAAUCGGUACUAUUAUUUGUGUUCUAAUGACUCAUUUGCAUUUGGUGGAGGUGGUGGUUUUGCUUUAUACUUAGAUGGAGAUUUGUAAGUAUUUCAAUGCUAACACUUUUUUAAUCCCCUUUCUUUUGGACUCAAAAUCCAGUUUUUUUUAAGCACCACUAGUUGAAUUGAUAUCAUCACUUCUAUUGAAUGUAUCGUAAAAAAGGUUAACUGGAACGAGUGGACCCUGCGACACAUUUGAAAAUCAUUGUCUAGCUCAUACUCCUGAGUUUGAAAUAAAGAAUGUUGAGGUAAUGUUCACAUGCUUCAUACUAAUUACUUUAAUUAUCUAGCUUAUAUCAAGCAAAUAAGUAUUUUGAUAAAUAAGUGUUUUCCAUGUCAAUUAGUAUAAGUUUAAAUAUGUUAGGUUAAACUACACUUUUUGCCCCCUAAGUUUCAAAAUGUUUUUAUUUUUUUAAGGCUUAAAUAUGAUUUUCGUCCCUGUAAUUUGAACCCGUUUUGAUUUUCGUCCCAGUAAAAAAAAUAAAAUUGAAAAACAUAUUUUUUAAGGCCAGGGACCUUUUUCAAACAAAAAAUUAUUUACAAGGAUGUUUUGCAAACUUUUUUUUUUUACAGGGACGAAAAUCAUAUUUAAGCCUUUUUUUAAUAGGGGACCAAAAUCUCAACAUUUUGAAACUUAGGUGGCGAAAAGUGCAGUUUAGACAAUAUGUUAUUUAUUCCUGAAAUUAUACCAUUAAUAAUUUUCAACUUGUUGCACUGAAUAAAAUUUGUCCUCACAAAUACAUCAUAUUUAUUUUUAGUUCUAGCAGUUUUCUUUUAAUCUAUUCUAAAUAGUUUGUUUGUGGUUUGGAUGCUCAUAGUUAUGACAUCCAAGAAUGUAUAAUUAUCUAAUUGUUAUAUUUUCUAACAUAGUUCAUUAUUUAUAUAUUUAUUUUUACAAUUCAUUCUAUCUUACUUAUGCAUCAAUUUAGCCUAAUUCUUAUUUUUACUAGAAUGGAAAUUUAUUAAUUCAUGAUUUUUAAUAUGUACAGUUGUGGGGUUUCACACACACUUCCUCUUAAUCACAUGAUGUUAAGGUUGGAAUGACUUGGUCGGGAUGUUCAAACACAUCAAACUCAUCCGAUAAUAGAUGUCACAUUUGACAAAAAUAAUUGCCUCCACAUGAUUGUAUUUUUUUUUUUACUUUCAAUGUAACUUUAGUUGUUUUCUAUCCUAUCGUUCCUUCUAAAUAAUACAACUUGUAUUCAUCCUAUAGUACUUAAGUUUGUCCCGACAAAUAAAAUCUUCAAAAAAUUAAGUGACAAUUUUAUUAUGUUUUUUGGCAUUGUUCAUUUCUUAAAAAUCCAAAAUGCUGGAUAUAAAUGAGAUAUAUUCAUUUUUCCCAAUAGAUAAGCUCGCAAGUUAAGUCCAUGUCUCAAAGAUAAUAUGUCCAAUUACAAAUUCUAUAAAAAAAAACAAUAAACAAACAAACAAAGCUCUGCACACAAGCACCACCCAACGUCUCAUUCAUUUAUCGACAACGUCGCAAACCUAAUUUGCCUCCAUUACUUUUAAGUUUUUCUAUUUUCACCAUAAUAAUACUAAUACAACACGAAAUCACGUUUUGGGAUGCACAAACCAUAGGAAUAUCUCUUCAUGUCUCCUUAUGUUUGCCCGAGGCGCAUGAAUCAGAGGUUAUUUCCCUUGUUUUCCUUCAUUCUUCAUGUGUUUUUAUCCUUGAUAUGAGAUUGGGACGUGGGACAAAAAUUAUUUUAUUUUGACUUCAAUAAGUCGUUGCACUUGAUAUACUUGCUUCCAUACGAAGUGAAGUUUUGAUAUUCGAACAAAUGAAUUUAGACAAGGAUUGCAAAACAUGAGAAUAGUCUAGCAAACCUUGGGACAUAUAAAGUUUCAAACUUCAAGAAUUCUAAUAGCAAUCAACCAUGAGAAUAGGCGUGGUUGCUAGAGUAACACACUCACUGAGACCGAAAGGAGAUGUGAUAGGCUAAUCUCAUAAACAAUUGUCAAUAACAAUUAUAAACUUCCUUCUGCUCUUACAAUUAAUCAUUUCAAUUUCAAUUGAAGUCAAAAUCCUGAGAAUGGGCUGAUUCCCAAAUGCAAAUUUGCUAAAAAUUCAAUAAUACAAUUAUGGAUAAGAUGAUUGAACAUAUAUUAGGAACGGUUUAAGUAAAUAUGAAUUUUUAGUUGGUAUAAGUCGGCUAGUUCUUGAUAAGUUGACCAGUUCAAGUCAAUAUUUGAUUUUAUGUAUUUAUUGAAACUUUUGACUUAAGUUUGCUAUAUUUCUAAAAGAAACUAUUUUAGAUAAAGAAAAUAUAUGUGCGGUACAAUAAAACUUAUAAAAUUUGUAUGGUAAAACACUAUAUAUAUAUAUAUAUUAUUAGGUUGUAAAAUAUAAGAGUCUCAUUUGGUUUAAUUAGAGAUUCAGGUUCAAAUUUAAUCUUGAGACUAUAACACUGUUAAAUCUUUUGUGAGAAAAUUUUGUUUGUCAUUGUGGUCAUAUCCGAUUUAGGAUUAAUCGAUAUAGUUUUUACACACAAAUGAUACUCAUUUCACACACACAAAAAUUAUAGAUACUUUUCUAAAAAAAAAAAGGAUCACAUUAUUCUACAUACAUUUCUAAAACUUCUCUUACCUUGACAAUGGAUAUCAAUUAAACUCUUAAAAAUAUGCAUGUUAUUUAAUAGAUUAUAUAAUAUAUUUAUUAUUUUCGUUGUGAUUGUUAGCUAUAAUAUGACAAUCAUUCGUAAUCAAUAGUAAAAAUUAAGAUAAAAUAAAAAAUAUUUAAGACAAAAAAAAAACUAACUGAACUAAUUUGGUGUUUACACAUUUUUGUUUUGGUCAAGUAGUCUAGGGGUUAUAAAUUCACUUUUUGAGGUGAAUAAAUGGCAUGUCCAUGGUUUGAACUAGGGGUGUGUGAUGAGUCAAUAAUUAGUCAUUUUAGUAUAAUAUUUAAUUUCGUUUUAAUUAGAUUUAAGUUUAUUUUAUUUUAAUAUUAUUUCCUUUUAGAGCUAUUUUACUUCAAUUGCAUAUUACCCACAUCUACAUAUGAUUUUUUUAGUUCUUAUCCAUUCACCUUUGAUAUUGUAAUAAACCUUAUCUACUAGGAUGUACAUUGGUACAUGUCAUUGUACUUAUAUAACUAGUACAUGCCCAUGUAUUUAUAUAUUGAAAAUCAAACUCUUUGUCAAACCAACAAUAUUAAGGAUUACUAAGACUCAUUGCACCUUAUAUACCUCAUAUAUAGUUACAGUCAAUAUUUCUUUCGAUUUUUAUAAAAGAUGUAUAAUUUGAAAGUUCUCAAGUUUUCUCGCGUCUUCUCCAAUUCUUUCAAUGGCCCUCUUCAAGUUAUGUUUGUUCUUUUCUCUUCCAUUUCAUUUUAAACAAAGAGGUUGGUUUCUCCUUGUUUAUUCUGUUUGUGUUGUUUACAAAAAAAAAUCCGAGCUUUAUUUAUUGCAACUGAAUUUAUAUAUUAAUAUAACCAUGUUCAUGCCAUAGUUAGCAUUGCUGGAUCCAAGACGAGAAAUCUUCAAUCAGUUAUUGCUAGGCUUAAACACAAAAAAAAUCUUUGGGAUCAUAGUCUAUUGAAUAAACAUGUUGGCAGUAGUCUUUUGGAUAAUACCAUGAAUUUAGUGAAAGAUGAAAUUAUUGAUAAUGAAAAUCAUAUCCAUAGAAGUGAUAACAAUUCUGAAGACUUUGAAGAAGUAAAUGAUGGUCAAUAUUCUUCAUUCAAACUCAUUGAUGAUUCUUGUUUCAUUUCUCUUGAGUUGAAUGACUUUUUUGAAUCAAGCCUCCCAAAAUUAGUAAAAGGGUGCAAACGGGUCUUAAUUUAUAGGUAAAUUUUCUUUAUAUUUAUGUAUUGAAUAAUAUUCUGCUUUUUCCCCAUUGAAAUAUUAAUAUUAAUUCAUUCUUUGAAUGUUUAUCAGUACAUUGAAACAUGGCAUAUCACUUCGUACAUUGACCCGUAACAGUGCUCAACUCACUACUCCUGGUUUGUUGGUAUGUUAUAACAAUUAUGAACAAAAAAUAUAUCUCUUAUUGUAGUAAGAUAAAUGAUUUUUUAACAUCAAAGUUCGGUGUCAAAUAUAUAAGGGUUAGACAAGUUUUUUAUUAAUAUAGAUAUAUAAUAUUUGUUAUUUAUGUGGUGUGCAUUAUUUUACUAUAUAGUUUAUUUUAAUAAUAAUUAGAAAAAGUGGGAAAUUAAUAUUAUUUUGGAGUUUGGGGAGUUAAUUAGGAUUUAAUAAAAUUAAAGGGGAGUAAAUGAAAUAAAGGGGAGUUAAUAUUUAGGGAGUUAGGAAAAGAGAAGUCAGAACUGCUUUUACGUGAAACCAAGUUUUUGGGAGAAAAGGGAGAGAAGAGCAAGUAGAGCCAAGGGAACCGAUUUGUUGUGCAUUUCUUUCUGCAAAACUAAGGUAAGGGUGAGGUUUACUUCAAUAGUGUAGUUGAUAAAUUCUGAUUUUGAUUUUAACAGGUUUAUGUGAGAAUUGAGAAUUUUGGGGUUUAUGUUGAAUUCUAGGUAUUGGGUGAAUUGAGUGUAGGAAUUGUUGUUCUGAUGUUAGAAAUAGGUUAUGAGUGCAUACAACAAGUUAUUUAACAUCUGUAAACCAAUUUGGGGAGUGAAAGUGAGAAAAUUGGAUUUUUGGGGAAAAACCUGCAUUCUGGUCGUGCUGAUAUUCAUCGCUCGCCUAGGCGAGUAGACUUUCCCGCCUCGCGAGUGAGCAGCUUCAUGGCUCGCCUCGCGAGCAGAACCACUCGCCAUGGCGAGUAUGCACCUGAGAGAUCAUGAUUUUUGAAGUGUUGUUAUAAGCUGUAAAAUGGAUAGUUCUAAGUGCUUAGAUGAUUUUAGAGAGGUCUGGGACAAUUUUCAGAUUAAAAUGAUGAAUAGAGAACUUAAAAAUGAAGAUUUAGUGAGAAAAAUGUCAAAACUUCCGAGAGCACCUGUUUUGAGUUCGCCACGGCGAGCAGCCUUUUUCUUGUGCUCGCCAUAGCGAGUAGAUGUACUUGCGAGGCGAGUUGCCCAGUUUUCAGAGCUGUUUGUUAUUUAAUUGUAUAAUGUUGAAUGAUAUUGAUGUCUAAGCAUGAUUAUUAUAAAUUGUGCAUUUUUCUGGAAUGAUUGGAUUGAUUAUAAUGACCUGUUGAUGUAUGUGAUGUAUGUUACAUUAAUUAAAUCAUACAUGGUGUUAAAUUAGCGGAGUUGUAAGUCAUAUGUACAUAUAUGCAUUGUCAAGUUGUAUGUAGAUAUACACAAGUGGAGUCAGUUGCAUAAGCACAAAAGCGGGAGGGCUCUGGCCCUGGAACGCCUUGUCGUUCAAAAGCGGUGGAACACUUUGUUGUUCAAAGCGGUGAUUAGCGGUGAGGACUUAUGUCCUGAAAUGAAUGCUUUAACCAUUCAAUUAGCGGUGAGGGCUCCGGCCCUGAAUAUGGUACCAUAUGCAUGAGCAUUGUAGAGGAGUCUUAGUGGAGUUGUUGAGUGUUGCAUGAGUCGAUGUUGUUGGUUUUAAUUACCAUUUGUUGUUGAUGUUGAUAAUGAUGAUAUUUUUAUAUAUUCAUGAAUUAUUAUUAUGAUAGGGUGUUAGAUUCAAUUGAUAAAUUUAUUAUCUAUAUUUAUUGUUGUGAAUCUCACCCCUUCUGCUUGAAAAUGUUGCCCUUCCUAUAUGUAACUUGCAGGUGAUCCCGAGUAGUAGGUGGUGGUUCAAGUGUCUAGCGCUCUAAUACGUACGGGAUGAGAUUUUAUUGCUUAUUUUCAUUCCUAUGUAUCAAAUUUUGGAACAUGAUGAUGUAGCCCUAUUGUUGUUUGAAUUUCUUUGAUGAGGCUUUUAUGCCAAGAUUAUUUAUUGGAGAUAAAUAUGUUGGAUGUUGUUGUUAUUUAAAGUUGAAAAUAUUCUGCUCCAAAGUUUUGAUGAAAUGAUUAAAGUUGGUUGUUUAUUAAAUAGUUUUAUAUUCUAUUUAAGAAAUUUUGAAAAUAUAGUGUGACAUGCCCGUUUGGGUUAUUACUCUGAUGAAUUAUUUAUUAAUUAAUUGAUUUUGGGUAACAGAGUGUUACACUUAGCAUAUAAGAUUAGGGAAUCGAAUAAAACUUUGUAAUUAUACACUUGUAAACAUUUUCAUCAUAGUGGAAGCCCGUGAUAGAGGCGUUUUCUUUCACAAAGAGAUGAUGUACCCUAACGAGGACGAAAAGGGAGAACCUUUAUAAAUCUUGGUGUUUUCUCUUCCCUAUCUUUUUAAUUUCAGUAUUGUCAUACCCCAAUUUUUGACCUAAGGCCCCACUGACACGUGUCGUCUAACCCUGAUCAAUCCAUGAUUUUUCAGUGAAAAAUUCGGCAAAAAAGUAUUUUAAAAUACCUCAUUUUGGUUCCGAAUCAGGCCCUCUUCUCUCAGUCCUCAAUCAUUUAUUUCCAUCUUUUAUUCUUAAAGUAAUCCUAAUUUUAUUUAUUUUAAUUUUAAAAUCAAUAUUUCUUUUAAUUCCAUUUUAGAUAAGUCCAAAAGUCAAGACUGCAUUUAUUUUAUUUUUAUUUUCAUUUUCUCAUUUAUCAUUUAUUAAUUCGUUAUUAACCAAAAUAAAAUCAAAAAAUGGCCCUCAUCCAAAGAAAUGCCCCGCAUCAUUCUUUCCUCAAUCCAAAUUCAGUUCUCAACCUUAUCAGUCCAACAGCAAUCACCAGCUUUCAUUCCAAUCCAAAGUGCAGAUUUUCUGCAUCCUUUAACAAACCCUAAUCUCAAAGUCCCACACUAUAAAAGCAACCUGCAUAACACAAAAGAGAGGGGGCCGAAAUUCAUAGAGCAGAGAGAACCAAAAACGGCCGAAAUUCAACCAAAAGCCAGUGCAAUUCAACAUCAAACCAGAAGCCAUCACAAGCCUCAAUCAUCAAAACCAAUUUCCAAUCCCACCGUACCAAGAAAAACAUACAAUAUCGGAAACCAGUCACACGACACCAUAAACCUGCAAAAAUCACAGCAACACAACACACAGCCGUGAUAAUCAUCACACAAAUCAUCAACAACCAAUACACCAUCACUCCAAACCAAAUCCAACACGUCUAGAACCUCAAACCAAACAAAUCCCAUUACGAAAGACAUUUAGAUCUAGGACUUUAUAUGUUGUUUUUUGUUUGUCUUGUUUUAAUAUAGGAAAAAUCAAGAAAAAAAGAAGCCAGAGACACACAGGAGCCAGACGGACACAAAAAGCCACUCAAGCCACAAGUCGACUACAACAACAACAGAUUCGUCGCCGUCACAAACGACAACAAGCAACCGGAUUCGUUCCAGAAAAAUCAAAGGUAGUUUUCUUUCUCUUAUUUUAGAUCUAGAAGUCUAGGUCUGGUGUUUGGAAAUUUUAAGGCUAGAAACGAAUAGAGAGUGGAAAGAGGGUUUGAAAACCGAAAAAAAAAAUUAAAAAAGGGGAUUUUGAGUGUCCGGCGCGGCGCCGCCGCUGCAGUUGGCCGGCGAGCCACCGCGCCGGAAAGAACCCAACCACCCUUCUCGCCGGAGAAGAAGAAGUUAGAGAGAGGAGAGAGCUUAUGAGAUAUAGAGAGAAAGGCAAGAGGGAAAUGAGAGAAAAUAGGGUUACACCCUUUAUAUAUUCCCUGAGCCGGUUCGGUUCUUUUGAAUCCGGCCCAAGUCUGAACCGAACCGAAACCGAUUCUUUGCCCAAGCCCAGCGCCCCAGUCUGUCCUCUAAGCCCAAAUCCGAAGUUGCUCCUUAGCCCAAUUCCCUUUCUUUUUUCUGCUUGCUAUUCCUGCACCCCCUGUUUACUGCUACACCUCCCACCUUGUGAUUGAACCUUGUUUUUUUUAUUAUUUCAUGCAUUUUAUUUAUCUUUUAGCAUUGUAAUUAUUAUUUUAUAUUCUCUCAUGCAUGUUUAUUUAUUUAUGUCAUUUAUUUUAUAGCAAGGAUGUAAGAAUGUAAAUUAGGGCUUUGAUGUAAAUAAUUUAUUUUAUUUCCGUCAUUUACUUUCUCGCAGACCAUAACAUGUAUAAUAGGUUUUUUGUAAUAACUUAGGUGCAUGUGUGCGUGUGUGGGUGUAUGCUUUAUUUUUCUGCUUAAGUACCUACGCUUUACUUUUCUGUUCCGUUAGUUUAUAUUCUAGUUCAUUUAUUCAAAAACAACAAAAACAUGCAAAUAACAAAAAUCACAAAAAAAACAUUUUCAUAAACAAACAUUGAUCCUAAAUCAAGUGAUCGUCUUUUUUUUUAUUCUUUCUUUAAUCAAAUUUCAAUCAACUUAAUUUUAUCAUGAGUCCAUUUCCUUUAAACAUAAAAAAUACAAACCAAUUCUCAUUUGCCACUUGGCUUUUCAUUUUAAAACCUUUUUCAAAACUAAUAAAAAACACUCAACAAAUCAAACGUCAAUUUCUACCCCGAACUACGAGGUUUUGAUCCCUCACGGGUACGUAGGCAGAGAACCAUGUCCUUCCAAACAAUAAAAAAUGUAGAUAUUUAGGUCUUUAUUUUUUUCCACUUUAAUUCUUCUUUUCAAAAUAAGCAAACAAGUUAUAGCACAAAAAACGUAAAUAAAACCAAGAGGUUCCCGUAGAGUACUACGGACAUAAAGGGUGCUAACACCUUCCCUUUAUGUAACUAACCCCCGAACCCAAAAUCUUUUCAAAUAGGGGUAGUUUGAACUUUUUUUCCCCUUUUCAUAAUAAAAUUAAAUGUUGUGAAAUAAAAAGUGAGUCAAAAGCUAAUCAAAUAGCUUUGAUUUCCAAAAAAUGACGCAACAAGUAUUAUAAUUGUGUAUAUAAAUUCAUUGUAUGAAGUAAUCAUUAUUUGAUUAUGAGUAUACUUUUUUUUACCAAAAUCUAAUCUUAAUUUUCUUAAUUGAGAUUUUCUCAAUUUAAUUUUCUCGCAAUGAAAGUUGAAAGUUAACUUCAAAUAAAUGAUUCAUAUACCUUGUGUUCAUUAGUUGUUAGUGUGAUUUAUUGAUUAAUAGAUUUCGUUUGAGAUACUUUAGUUUUUCAAUUUAAAUGUGUGUAUUGAUUUUUGAACUGUAUUAUAAGAUUCAAUAGUGAACUUCUCACUCAUAUUUGAAUAUUUAUUUCCUUUCAUUGCUUUACUUUUAUCAUCAUUUAUCAAACACAAUUCAAUGGUCAUAAUUGGUUUUUAACUAACGCUUUUCGCAAAAUCUUUUAAAAUCGAAAAACACUAUUCAGCCCCUCUAGCAUGUUCUCCAUAUAAGACUAACAUAAGGGUUCGAAAGCAAGUGGUUUGUAAAAAUGCAAGCAAGCUGACUUUUCGUAUCAAUAUGUUUCAAAAUAACGUCCCCCUUUUCAACAUGGCCACUUAGGAAAUGAUGAAUCUCUAUACUCUUAGUUCUUGAAUGUAAAACUGAGUUCUAUUUAAGUUGAUGCCACUUGUGUUAUUAUAUAUUAUUGGAAUAUGAUCUAGUUUAAAAUCAUUGUCUAGAAGUUGUUUCAACUAAAGAAUCUGAUCACAACAACUUCCAGCUGCACAUAUUCCGCUCUAGUUGUGGACAAAACACAACACUUACUUGCUUUUUUCUAUGCCACAACAUUAAAUAAUUUUAAAAAAGAUAACAAUUACUUCAUCCGUUCUAAAUUAUAUGUCACAUUUUUACAAUGUGCACCAUGUACAUAACUUACUUUGACCUUAUUUUUAACUUAUAUAUGAAUAUACAAAUGUUAACAUUUAAGACGUCGUUCGAUUUGUGUCGAUAAAUAUUUUUAAAAUAUUAAUUUUUUAUAAUUUUUUGCUAUAGAUAAUUAAAGAUAUCAACGAUCAAAAUUGUGUAUUAACAUUAUAGAAAAUAAAUGUAAAUUUGAAGUAUCUAAAAUUAACAAGAGAAAUCCCGUAAAUUUAACUCGGUUGAUAAAAACAUUAUAUUAUAUAUAGAAGCUGAAGUUCGAUCCCAUGUACUAAUUUCGGCUGUCCACCGAAAAUGAAACAAACAAUAGAAAAGUUAUUUCGACAAUGUACAAGUUAUCGGACACCGUAUUUUCGUAACAUUGUCAACCAGAUCCGACCCGAAAAGAAUUGCUGGACCGGGUAUUUGGCCCAGGCCCGUAAAUUUUCUUUCAUACAAACACCAAAUCUAAACAAUUAGCGGUGAUUUUUUUCGAUUUAGUUUUCUCUUCGGCUUCGUUUUCUCGUUACCACCAUUUCCCUCUCUCUUCUCCAAAACCCAAAACCCUAAUUUCUUCUUCCUCAACCACGAUGAACUGCUCCAGUUAAUUUCUUCUUCCUCUAUUCUCUUCUUUCGUUUCUUCUCUGUUUCGAUUUCGAAUUUCAUUGUUUUUGAUCUGCGAUUUUUUUUUUUUUUUUUGCAGUUUCUGGUGAGGUUCCAGAUGAGCCUGUGGUGUCAAAAAGCUCUGGGCUUUUGUUCGAGAAGAGAUUAAUCGAGAGGCAUAUAAUGGUAAUGAUUCUUUCUCUCUCUGUUUAAUUGCUUUUUCCGAUUCAAUUUUGUGAAUAAUAGUUUAGGGUAGAAGUGUAAUUUGGGAAUAGUAAUGGUUAUUUCUCUCUGUUUAUUUAACAUUUGAAGUUGAAUUUGUGAACUAUAAUUAGGGAUUAGCUUGUUAGGGUAGAGGGGUAGUUUGGGAAUAGCUGUUUAAUGGAUAAAAUGGAUUUUUUUGUGUGUGUUUUGGUAUUAGGGUUAGUUUAUUUUUGAGCUUAUGAAAAAUUUAUGCAAAUAAAUAAGCUUUUAUGUUAAGUCAUAAAUUCUCACUAAUGAAAAUUGUAUCUUCAUAAGCUGUUUUUUCAUAAACUACCUUACAAGCUUAUGAAUAAUACAUAAAAGCUUAUUUAUUUGCGCAAGCUAAACAAUAAGCCAAUCCAAACAGGCCCAUAGUUUAGUUCAUUUUAGGUUGAAAGUGUUUGGUCUUUUAUGUUCUUCAAGGGUAUUGUAGUGGAAAUUAGGAGUGUAGGCAACUCAAAUUUUAGAUGGAGUGUAGGGUAGUAGGGUAAUUUGGGAAUAAUGAUUUAAUCGAGAAUUGUGUUGUAUUAGUUUUAGUACAUUUUAGGUGGAAAAUGUUUGGUCUUGUAACUAAUUUGAAGGUUCAGUAGUAGAAAUAAAUAGUGUCGGUCUCUGUAAACCUGACACUUCUGAUCGAAGCCGUGUAAUGACACCGACUCAUGUUUUGCAUUGAGUUAUGUAAUUUUCUCAAAAUUGUAUUGUCGUCAUUGUGUCUGGUUUCCAUGUUUCAUAGUUGUCGGCAAUUCGAAGUUUUAAAUGGAAUUUAGUUAUACAACCCAUGACUGGAAUUUUGGACUUUAUUUUAUUUACGGCAAGACAAUAUUUAAGGCGAGACAUGUGGUUCUUUGGUUCUGGAUACCGACUUUUGUAUUGGUAUUAGGAGAUGUGAAAGCUAAAGGGUAAUUCGGAAGCAGUAUAUUUGUUAUAUUUUGGUUCUUUGGUUCUGGAUACCGACUUUUGUAUUGGUAUUAGGAGAUGUGAAAGCUAAAGGGUAAUUCGGAAGCAGUGUAUUUGUUAUAUUUUGUUUCUUUUCUCUUUGUUAUAUGUGCUAUCUUUUGGUGAAUGAAAGAAAGUGGGGCGUUUUUGUACAGAGUGAGUUGCGUAGCAUGUUUGAAGUUUGAGGUGGUUUGGUCUUUUAAGCUGUUUAAAGUGUUUAGUAGUGGAAAUUAGUAGCAUACCCAACUAAAAAUUUGUAAUGGAAUUUAGUUACACAACCGAUGACUGUAAUUUCAAAAUUUAUUUUAUUUGAGCCGAGACAUCAGCAUAACUAAUAUUUAUUUUAAUAUACCAAAUUUUGUAUUGGUUUUAGGAGAUUUGUUUGAAAUAUAAAACGAUAGGAGUGCCGAACAGCCAAAAUGUGAUUUGAAUUUUGAUAGAAACCGGUACCAAAAUAGAAACAGAAUAGAAAUAACUUAUUUUAUUAAUAAUAGAAUAUGAUUACACAAUAUUUGAGAGUCUUGGGUCUCUCCCGCCAAGAAUUCGGGAGCUUGGUCACUCCCAACCAGUAACCAGUCCCCAAUAAAAUGCCUAUCGACAUUGUCCUUAAGAUCCCUUAUUUAUCCAGUAACUUAUUCUCUAGUAACUGCCUAAAACAUAACUGUUCCUAAUACAUAACUGCUACACAUUAAUAUAGUAACUGUUGCCUGAUAAAAUAACAACUGCAG
Molecule: long non-coding RNA, 38790 nt
Filed under: Medicago truncatula (barrel medic)
Lineage: Eukaryota; Viridiplantae; Streptophyta; Magnoliopsida; Fabales; Fabaceae
Description: long non-coding RNA (MTRU_LNC001705)
Rfam family: MIR2617 microRNA precursor family (bases 32667-32753)
Source: RNAcentral